RNAcentral lists this long non-coding RNA (1122 nucleotides) under Oryctolagus cuniculus (rabbit). Its description in RNAcentral is "lncRNA (ENSOCUG00000031452.1)". The record is from RNAcentral. Lineage: Eukaryota; Metazoa; Chordata; Mammalia; Lagomorpha; Leporidae.
AUGCCUCCAAAAUCCCGGUGUGUGUCUGCCUCUCAGACUCCAGGCUGCGUGUGUCUGCGCGCGUCACCGCCUCACAGCCAUGGCAAAUACAGCGCCACUGGGUGCGGGCCCCAAGGGACUUGGCUUGUGGGCGGGACCUGGCCGGGAGGAGCCCUCAGCGUGGUUUUCACGGGAAAUUGUGCCCGAAGUCUGCCCUGCCCCCUGUUGGUUACGGCUCUUGCCCACCCCUGCCCCCCGCUGAGGCUGAUCUCCAGGGGUGCGCAGACACAAGAAGUUCUCACCUGGAGUGGAAGCUGGGUCCUGUCCAGGAGGCCCUUGGUGGGGGGGACUGAGCGUGCGUGCAGGAGUGGGGGUAGCGCAGCUCUGGAGGACUGGCCCCCAUGCUGUGUGGCCAUGGGAUCCGUGUCCGCCUUGGGAGGGGAGCGUGUGUGCACACUUGCCCUGGGGGACCGUGCAGACCACAGGGAGCAGGCCUGGGGGGACUCCACGAUGGGAGAGUGUGACCUGCUGUGGGGUCGGGGGGAAGCUCACCAAGUCCCUGGUUUCCGGAGAGACCCCAGGGAGUGUCUGGGGCCCUGGGGCCCGGCUGCUCUCCUUCCAUCCAUGUGGGCUGCCCUCCAGAAGCCUGGGGUGGUCACAGUGGGCUUCUGCAGCCCUGCGAAGAGGCUGGCCCUAGGGGACAGGGGUCCCCCUGCGCCUCCCGGGGCUGCAGCGCCAGGUCCUGGCACAGCUGGUGUGCGGGGGGAAGUGCUCAGCAGGGCUGUGUGCCUGGCGCAUGCUCACCUGUCCCCCAGCCAAUCGCCCCCACCCCGACGCCCCACCCAGUGUGUUCUCCAUCUGCUGUGCAGAUGUCCCUGCCCGGCCUGCUGCAGACUCGGCUGGCUCACAGGGCAGCCCGGGAGGCGGGCGGGGUCAAAGGACCCUUGGGCUUUCCCACCUGAGAGCGCUUUGGGGAGAGGAGCGGCCCAGCCCUGUGGUUUUGGGAGGAUGGCGGGCACUGGUGGGAAGACGUGGGAUUGCACCUUCCUCUCCGUGGGGACAGGGUCUGUGACUGCAGUGGCCACAGCUGGCCCAGCCCCCUGCCCAGCAUCUGGCUCCGAAGGAGCAGGUGAGUGCUGGUGA